AACGAACGCUGGCGGCAGGCCUAACACAUGCAAGUCGAACGCGCGUAGCAAUACGCGAGUGGCGCACGGGUGAGUAACACGUGGGAAUCAACCCUGAGGUUCGGAAUAACCGCGGGAAACUGCGGCUAAUACCGGAUGUCCCCUAUGGGGGAAAGAUUUAUCGCCUUGGGACGAGCCCGCGUCCGAUUAGCUAGUUGGUGAGGUAAUGGCUCACCAAGGCUAUGAUCGGUAGCNGGUCUGAGAGGAUGACCAGCCACACUGGAACUGAGAUACGGUCCAGACUCCUACGGGAGGCAGCAGUGGGGAAUAUUGGGCAAUGGAGGCAACUCUGACCCAGCCAUGCCGCGUGGGUGACGAAGGUCUUCGGAUUGUAAAGCCCUUUCGGCGGAGACGAUGAUGACGGUAUCCGCAGAAGAAGCCCCGGCUAACUUCGUGCCAGCAGCCGCUGU
This 449-nucleotide ribosomal RNA is filed under the name uncultured bacterium. RNAcentral's name for it is "bacterial SSU rRNA". It matches the Rfam family "Bacterial small subunit ribosomal RNA", at positions 29 to 521 of the family's 1533-position model. The record is from RNAcentral.